Molecule: ribosomal RNA, 627 nt
Filed under: Vishniacozyma victoriae
Lineage: Eukaryota; Fungi; Basidiomycota; Tremellomycetes; Tremellales; Bulleribasidiaceae
Description: eukaryotic LSU rRNA
Rfam family: Eukaryotic large subunit ribosomal RNA
Source: RNAcentral
CUGGCCUCAAAUCAGGUAGGGCUACCCGCUGAACUUAAGCAUAUCAAUAAGCGGAGGAAAAGAAACUAACUAGGAUUCCCUUAGUAACGGCGAGUGAACCGGGAUGAGCUCAAAUUUAAAAUCUGGCGUCUUUCAGGCGUCCGAGUUGUAAUCUAUAGAGGCGUUUUCCGCGCCGGACCGCGUCCAAGUCUCUUGGAAUAGAGUAUCAAAGAGGGUGACAAUCCCGUACUUGACGCGACAACCGGUGCUCUGUGAUACGUUCUCAAUGAGUCGAGUUGUUUGGGAAUGCAGCUCUAAAUGGGUGGUAAAUUCCAUCUAAGGCUAAAUAUUGGCGAGAGACCGAUAGCGAACAAGUACCGUGAGGGAAAGAUGAAAAGCACUUUGGAAAGAGAGUUAAACAGCACGUGAAAUUGUUAAAAGGGAAACGAUUGAAGUCAGUCGUGUGAAAGGUAUUCAGCCGUCUCUGGCGGUGUAUUUGCCUUUCACGGGUCAACAUCAGUUUGAUCCGGUAGAAAAAGGCGGGAGGAAGGUGGCACCCUCGGGUGUGUUAUAGCCUCCUGUCAUAUGUGCCGGACCAGACUGAGGAACGCAGCUUGCCGCAAGGCCGGGGUUCGCCCACGUACAAGC